RNAcentral lists this ribosomal RNA (474 nucleotides) under uncultured bacterium. RNAcentral describes it as "bacterial SSU rRNA". It matches the Rfam family "Bacterial small subunit ribosomal RNA", at positions 328 to 793 of the family's 1533-position model. The record is from RNAcentral.
UGUCCAGACUCCUACGGGAGGCAGCAGUGGGGAAUCUUCCGCAAUGGGCGCAAGCCUGACGGAGCAACGCCGCGUGAAUGAAGAAGGUCUUCGGAUCGUAAAGUUCUGUUCUUAGGGAAGAAGUCUUAGGUUGUGAAUAAUGACUUAAGGUGACGGUACCUAUGGAGAAAGCUCCGGCUAACUACGUGCCAGCAGCCGCGGUAAUACGUAGGGAGCGAGCGUUGUCCGGAAUUACUGGGCGUAAAGGGCGCGUAGGUGGGCGCUUAAGUCAGGUGUGAAAACUCCGGGCUCAACCUGGAGACUGCACUUGAAACUGGGUGUCUUGAGGGCAGGAGAGGAAAGUGGAAUUCCUAGUGUAGCGGUGAAAUGCGUAGAUAUUAGGAGGAACACCAGUGGCGAAGGCGACUUUCUGGACUGUACCUGACGCUGAGGCGCGAAAGCGUGGGUAGCGAACGGGAUUAGAUACCCGAGUAC